RNAcentral lists this ribosomal RNA (266 nucleotides) under uncultured archaeon. RNAcentral describes it as "partial 16S ribosomal RNA". It matches the Rfam family "Archaeal small subunit ribosomal RNA", at positions 718 to 982 of the family's 1478-position model. The record is from RNAcentral.
AGUCACUGACAUUAGACUACCCCCGUAGUCCCAGCCGUAAACUAUGCGCGUUAGGUGUAUCGGUGACCACGAGUCACCGAGGUGCCGAAGGGAAACCGUGAAACGUGCCGCCUGGGAAGUACGGUCGCAAGGCUAGAAACUUAAAGGAAUUGGCGGGGAGCACCACAACGGGUGGAGCCAGCGGUUUAAUUGGACUCAACGCCGGGAAGCUCACCGGAUAAGACAGCGGAAUGAUUGCCGGGCUGAAGACUCUGCAUGACUAGCUG